Molecule: ribosomal RNA, 460 nt
Filed under: uncultured bacterium
Lineage: Bacteria
Description: partial 16S ribosomal RNA
Rfam family: Bacterial small subunit ribosomal RNA
Source: RNAcentral
CCUACGGGGGGCAGCAGUGAGGAAUAUUGGUCAAUGGGCGCAAGCCUGAACCAGCCAAGUCGCGUGAGGGAUGACGGUCCUAUGGAUUGUAAACCUCUUUUGUCGGGGAGCAAGGCCCGCCACGUGUGGCGGGAAGGAGAGUACCCGACGAAAAAGCAUCGGCAAACUCCGUGCCAGCAGCCGCGGUACUACGGAGGAUGCGAGGGUUAUCCGGAUUUAUUGGGUUUACAGGGUGCGUAGGCGGAAGGUUAAGUCAGCGGUAAAAUGUCGGUGCUCAACACCGGCCUGCCGUUGAAACUGGUCUUCUUGAGUGAGCGAGAAGUAUGCGGAAUGCGUGGUGUAGCGGUGAAAUGCAUAGAUAUCACGCAGAACUCCGAUUGCGAAGGCAGCAUACCGGCGCUCAACUGACGCUGAGGCACGAAAGCGUGGGGAUCGAACAGGAUUAGAUACCCCUGUAGUC